Molecule: ribosomal RNA, 274 nt
Filed under: uncultured bacterium
Lineage: Bacteria
Description: partial 16S ribosomal RNA
Rfam family: Bacterial small subunit ribosomal RNA
Source: RNAcentral
AUACGUAGGGGCCAAACGUUGUCCGGAUUUAUUGGGCGUAAAGGGCUCGUAGGCGGUUUAACAAGUCGGUCGUGAAAGCCCGGGGCUCAACCCCGGGACGCCGGUCGAAACUGUUAUGACUAGGGUCCGGUAGAGGUGAGUGGAAUUCUCGGUGUAGCGGUGGAAUGCGCAGAUAUCGAGAGGAACACCAGUAGCGAAGGCGGCUCACUGGGCCGGUACCGACGCUGAGGAGCGAAAGCAUGGGAGCAAACAGGAUUAGAAACCCCAGUAGUCC